AGUGAACGCUGGCGGUAGGCCUAACACAUGCAAGUCGAACGGCAGCACAGUAAGAGCUUGCUCUUACGGGUGGCGAGUGGCGGACGGGUGAGGAAUACAUCGGAAUCUACUUUUUCGUGGGGGAUAACGUAGGGAAACUUACGCUAAUACCGCAUACGACCUACGGGUGAAAGCAGGGGAUCUUCGGACCUUGCGCGAUUGAAUGAGCCGAUGUCGGAUUAGCUAGUUGGCGGGGUAAAGGCCCACCAAGGCGACGAUCCGUAGCUGGUCUGAGAGGAUGAUCAGCCACACUGGAACUGAGGCACGGUCCAGACUCCUACGGGAGGCAGCAGUGGGGAAUAUUGGACAAUGCGCGCAAGCCUGAUCCAGCCAUACCGCGUGGGUGAAGAAGGCCUUCGGGUUGUAAAGCCCUUUUGUUGGGAAAGAAAAGCAGCAGGUUAAUACCCCGCUGUUCUGACGGUACCCAAAGAAUAAGCACCGGCUAACUUCGUG
RNAcentral lists this ribosomal RNA (492 nucleotides) under uncultured bacterium. RNAcentral describes it as "partial 16S ribosomal RNA". It matches the Rfam family "Bacterial small subunit ribosomal RNA", at positions 29 to 507 of the family's 1533-position model. The record is from RNAcentral.